Marmota flaviventris (yellow-bellied marmot) is the source of this 1703-nucleotide long non-coding RNA. RefSeq lists it as uncharacterized. The record is from RefSeq and is a predicted model, not a curated record. NCBI's taxonomy places the organism in Eukaryota, Metazoa, Chordata, Mammalia, Rodentia, Sciuridae.
GGGCAAGAUCAAGCCGAAAGGCUGCUGUGGAGAACUUGCAAAACCACAUUAGCAAAAGUGGCUGGUUUCGAUCUACAAAUGAUGUCUAGAACUAGAGCAGCCAUCUUGAGCCAUGAGGUAAACUCAGACAUGGAAGCCCAGCCUGAGGUGGAAACAAACUAGAAGAAUCCUGACACCCCAGUGCCUGGCUCGCCAUACCAGACCCUCAGGAACUUUCUCUGAAAGAAAAAGCUGUGUUGCUUAACCCAUGGAUGGAACCCAGUGUCUCACACAGGCAAGGCAAGUGCUCUACCACUGAGCUACAAUCCCAGUCCUCCUAAAUCCUUUGUAUGCAUGAUCUCAUUGACUCCUCUGAUGAUCUCUGUGACAAGAAUAGCCUCUUUCCAAGAACCCUGGACUCACCCCAGCUCUCUCUCCUGCCUGUCCUACAAUGAAAUUGAUGUGUAGACUCUCGUUUCUUCAGGAGGCAGUGGACAGGGGGCUGCCCUCAGAGCUGGAGGCAUUGGAAGGGAGCAUGCAGGAGCGGUUAACACCUGCUGACGUCAGCUUUCUGUAUCAGCCACAAUCCCUCAGCAACAACAAACCCACUGCAUGCCUUUUACACAUUUAAAGCACGUACCCAUCACUCAACAGAUACGUAGUCACCACCUAUUCUGAAAUUUGCAUUCUACAUUUUGUUCCAGGAAAUGAAAAAAUAACAGUGUUUGUUUCAUUUCAUUUCAUUCUCCACAGGCUACCUAGUUAAUGCCGUUAACUGAAAGAAUAAUAGUACACACUUCCCCCUGGGGUUCGAAAUAUCAUAUCAAUCAUUUGUCAUACAUGAGUGUAUUUGGACAUUGUAAGUUCAAAUUUAGCAAUUAAUUCCUGGGGAUAUGACUUUGUAAUAGUGUUUUCCUUUUUAACUUCUUUAAAGAAAAUAAUUAUAGACUCACAGGAAGUCGCACAAAUAGCUCAGAGUCCCAUGUGCCCUCCCCGCAUUGUGAUGUCUUACAUAACUGUACAAUAUUAAGGCAGGAAACGGACAUUGGUAAGUUUAAUUUUAACUAGCCUACUGUUAUUCCGUUUCUUCAGCAUUAAAAAAAUUUCCAUUCUCUCUUAUAUCUGUAUGGUUCCAUAUAAUUUUAUUCCAUCUGCAGAUCAUGUGACCAGUGUCACAGCAGAGAAACAGAAUGAUUCCAUGACCUCCCACCUGGUAUUUGCAUCUAUCACUCACCUAUUCCAUCCCUCCACCUUCUUCCCUGUGCCCUGGAGACCACUAAUCUCUUGCGUGCCUAUUGUUUUGUCAUUACCAGAGUACUUUAUAAAUGGAAUGAAUACUGUGUGUAACCUUCUGAGAGUGACAUUUUCCACUGGCCACAUUACCCUUGAGGUCCACCAAGUGGUUGCAUGUGUCGAUCAUUCAUUCCUUUGAAUUAGUGAGUAUAUUUCAUUCUAUGAAUGUAUUAGUUUGUUGAACUCUUCACCCAAGGAAGGAUAUGGGUUUUCUGCAUAGUUAUGCUAUCAUGAAUAAAAUUUCUAUGAGCACUCGAGUUCAGACUUUUGCAUAAAUCUAAGGUUUUGCUUCUUUAAGAUUAACUCCCAAGCAUGCAACUUCUGGGUUAUAUGGUAACUACACAUUUCCUUUUGUAAGACAUUGAAAAUGUGUUUUCCAGAAUAUCAACAUCAUUUGACACUCCCACAAAUAAAGUGUCAGUUUCUCUGUA